GUUGAGGGGAAUGUUGUCUGGCUCGAGGUCACGUAGGUGAUUUUGUAGAUUUUCCUGUUUUACGUUUAGAGUUGUAAGGAAAGUUUGGAUUCAACGCCUAAGUGACCUCGGACCAGGCUUCAUUCCCCUCAAC
Molecule: microRNA precursor, 133 nt
Filed under: Nelumbo nucifera (sacred lotus)
Lineage: Eukaryota; Viridiplantae; Streptophyta; Magnoliopsida; Proteales; Nelumbonaceae
Description: mir-166 microRNA precursor family
Rfam family: mir-166 microRNA precursor family
About the family: This family represents the plant microRNA (miRNA) precursor mir-166. Animal miRNAs are transcribed as ~70nt precursors and subsequently processed by the Dicer enzyme to give a ~22nt product. In plants the precursor sequences may be longer, and the carpel factory (caf) enzyme appears to be involved in processing.
Source: Rfam by way of RNAcentral